UACGGAGGGUGCAAGCGUUACUCGGAAUCACUGGGCGUAAAGGACGCGUAGGCUGUUUAGCAAGUCAGAUGUGAAAUCCAAUGGCUCAACCAUUGAACUGCAUUUGAAACUGCUAGACUAGAGUAUGGGAGGGGGAGAUGGAAUUAGUGGUGUAGGGGUAAAAUCCGUAGAUAUCACUAGGAAUACCUAAAGCGAAGGCGAUCUCCUGGAACAUUACUGACGCUAAGGCGUGAAAGCGUGGGGAGCAAACAGGAUUAGAUACCCUGGUAGUCCACGCCCUAAACGAUGAACACUAGUCGUCGCGAUGCUUGUCAUUGCGGUGAUGCACUUAACAGAUUAAGUGUUCCGCCUGGGGAGUACGGUCGCAAGAUUAAAACUCAAAGGAAUAGACGGGGACCCGCACAAGUGGUGGAGCAUGUGGUUUAAUUCGAAGAUACGCGAAAAACCUUACCUAGCCUUGACAUUGAUAGAAUACUGUAGAGAUACGGUAGUGCCCUUCGGGGAGCUUGAAAACAGGUGCUGCACGGCUGUCGUCAGCUCGUGUCGUGAGAUGUUGGGUUAAGUCCCGCAACGAGCGCAACCCUCGUCCUUAGUUGCCAGCAGGUUAAGCUGGGCACUCUAGGGAGACUGCCUUCGUAAGGAGGAGGAAGGUGAGGACGACGUCAAGUCAUCAUGGCCCUUAUGGCUAGGGCUACACACGUGCUACAAUGGGGCGUACAGAGUGUUGCAAUACCGCGAGGUGGAGCCAAUCACUUAAAGCGUCUCUCAGUUCGGAUUGUUCUCUGCAACUCGAGAACAUGAAGCUGGAAUCACUAGUAAUCGUAGAUCAGCAUUGCUACGGUGAAUACGUUCCCGGGUCU
This 860-nucleotide ribosomal RNA is filed under the name uncultured bacterium. Its description in RNAcentral is "SSU rRNA". It matches the Rfam family "Bacterial small subunit ribosomal RNA", at positions 524 to 1381 of the family's 1533-position model. The record is from RNAcentral.